This 200-nucleotide long non-coding RNA is filed under the name Elaeis guineensis (African oil palm). Its description in RNAcentral is "long non-coding RNA (EGUI_LNC068492)". Lineage: Eukaryota; Viridiplantae; Streptophyta; Magnoliopsida; Arecales; Arecaceae. The record is from RNAcentral.
GCCUGGGUCGAUAAUUGAUAUCGAAUUUCGUGAGCUCGAUCACCCAUUUUGCCAUCCUCCCGGAGGUAUCUGCCCGGUGCAGGACCGCCUUGAUUGGUUGGUCGGUGAGUAGUGUCAUGGUGUGCCCUUGAAAGUAGGGUCGGAGCCUCCGAGCUGCAAUCAACAAGGCGUAAGUCAGUUUUUCUAAUUUGGUGUACCUG